This 464-nucleotide ribosomal RNA is filed under the name uncultured bacterium. Its description in RNAcentral is "partial 16S ribosomal RNA". It matches the Rfam family "Bacterial small subunit ribosomal RNA", at positions 28 to 507 of the family's 1533-position model. The record is from RNAcentral.
GACGAACGCUGGCGGCGUGCUUAACACAUGCAAGUCGAACGGAAAGGCCCAGCUUGCUGGGUGCUCGAGUGGCGAACGGGUGAGUAACACGUGGGUGAUCUGCCCCUAACUUCGGGAUAAGCUUGGGAAACUGGGUCUAAUACCGGAUAGGACAAUCGUUUAGUGUCGGUUUUGGAAAGUUUUUUCGGUUAGGGAUGAGCCCGCGGCCUAUCAGCUUGUUGGUGGGGUAAUGGCCUACCAAGGCGUCGACGGGUAGCCGGCCUGAGAGGGUGGACGGCCACAUUGGGACUGAGAUACGGCCCAGACUCCUACGGGAGGCAGCAGUGGGGAAUAUUGCACAAUGGGCGCAAGCCUGAUGCAGCGACGCCGCGUGGGGGAUGACGGCCUUCGGGUUGUAAACCUCUUUCGACAGGGACGAAGCUUUGGUGACGGUACCUGUAGAAGAAGCACCGGCUAACUACGUG